Molecule: ribosomal RNA, 443 nt
Filed under: uncultured Vibrio sp.
Lineage: Bacteria; Pseudomonadati; Pseudomonadota; Gammaproteobacteria; Vibrionales; Vibrionaceae
Description: bacterial SSU rRNA
Rfam family: Bacterial small subunit ribosomal RNA
Source: RNAcentral
GGGGGACGUGAACGGCGUCGAGCGGCGGACGGGUGAGUAAUGCCUGGGAAAAUUGCCCCUGAUGUAGGGGGGACAACCACUUGGAAAACGAUGGCUAAUACCGCAUAAUAGCUUCGGCUCAAAGAGGGGGACCUUCGGGCCUCUCGCGUCAGGAUAUGCCCAGGUGGGAUUAGCUAGUUGGUGAGGUAAGGGCUCACCAAGGCAACGAUCCCUAGCUGGUCUGAGAGGAUGAUCAGCCACACUGGAACUGAGACACGGUCCAGACUCCUACGGGAGGCAGCAGUGGGGAAUAUUGCACAAUGGGCGCAAGCCUGAUGCAGCCAUGCCGCGUGUAUGAAGAAGGCCUUCGGGUUGUAAAGUACUUUCAGCAGUGAGGAAGGUUCAUGCGUUAAUAGCGUAUGGAUUUGACGUUAGCUGCAGAAGAAGCACCGGCUAACUCCGUG